UACGUAGGGGGCAAGCGUUGUCCGGAUUUAUUGGGCGUAAAGAGCGUGUAGGCGGUUUGGUAGGUCCGCGGUGAAAACUCGAGGCUCAACCUCGAGACGCCGGUGGAAACCAUCAGACUAGAGUCCGGAAGAGGAGAGUGGAAUUCCUGGUGUAGCGGUGAAAUGCGCAGAUAUCAGGAAGAACACCCGUGGCUAAGGCGGCUCUCUAGUACGGUACUGACGCUGAGACGCGAAAGCGUGGGGAGCGAACAGG
This 253-nucleotide ribosomal RNA is filed under the name uncultured bacterium. RNAcentral describes it as "partial 16S ribosomal RNA". It matches the Rfam family "Bacterial small subunit ribosomal RNA", at positions 524 to 776 of the family's 1533-position model. The record is from RNAcentral.